GACGAACGCUGGCGGCGUGCUUAACACAUGCAAGUCGAACGGAAAGGCCCUGCUCUUGUGGGGUGCUCGAGUGGCGAACGGGUGAGUAUCACGUGUGUAACCUGUCCUUGACUUUGUGAUAACUUCAGGAAACUGCGGCUAUUACCGGAUAGGAUCUCCUGCUGCAUGGUGGGGGAUGGAAAGAUUCGGCGGUUGGGGAUGGUCUCGCGGCUUAUCAGCCUGUUGGGCGGGUAGUUGCUUACCAAGGCUUUGACGGGUAGCCGGCCUGAGAGGGUUGCCGGCGACAAUGGGACUGAGGUACGGCCCAGACGGCUACGGGAGGCAGCAGUGGGAAGUAUUGCGCAAUGAGCGGAAGCCUGAGGCAGCGGCGCCGCGUGCGGAAUGAUGUCCUUCGAGUGAUAAACAAAUGUGGCCGGAGACGAGGCGUGAGUGACGGUAAUGGGUAAGAAAGCACCGGCUAACUACGUG
This 468-nucleotide ribosomal RNA is filed under the name uncultured bacterium. Its description in RNAcentral is "partial 16S ribosomal RNA". It matches the Rfam family "Bacterial small subunit ribosomal RNA", at positions 28 to 507 of the family's 1533-position model. The record is from RNAcentral.